Fundulus heteroclitus (mummichog) is the source of this 1727-nucleotide long non-coding RNA. RefSeq lists it as uncharacterized. The transcript has 3 exons. The record is from RefSeq and is a predicted model, not a curated record. Lineage: Eukaryota; Metazoa; Chordata; Actinopteri; Cyprinodontiformes; Fundulidae.
UGCUGAUAUAUCUCUUAGUAAGACAUAAAUAUUCUUAAUUCCUUAGUUCUGCCAGUGCUAACAUGUUUUGCUGCUUUUUUACCGGGCUGUUAGCAGCUAUUCUGAUCUCCUCAGUCUGUCCCUGCUGGGUCAAGUCUGUCCUUCUCCUCGUUCUACUUCUUCCUCCGUGUCACUGCUGUGCACUCCACAGGACUGCUUCAGCAUUUGAUGGCCUUGUUCUCGCUGCUCCAAUCACACUUGUGGCGCAAGGCUCCAUCUCUUGGAGAUGGACAUCUUUUCUCUUUGGCCUUUAACCCAGAGUUGGCCCAUCUUGGGUGACACCAAUGACUGCUAUGCAUGCGGGGGAACCAUUGCUAUGCUUCUGACAGCAAACAUUCUUGGAGCGCGGCCGCGUGGCUCUGGCAUUCUGCCGCAUAGAAGAUCCACUGAACACAGAUCGGCUGCUCUGCUGUUUUUUACAGAGAUGAGCGUCAUCCCGGUGAGGAGCUUCCAAACAACACAUGCGCUGAUGAGGUGUCAGAGCACAUCGGUGAAUCCCAACUGCAACCCUGGAGGCUCCUUAAAGCUCGGCAAAAGCGUCCGCUCAGGGUGCCACCUCUCGAGAUCAGGCCGUUUUUCUAACAGCUCUAUAAAGUAUGCAAUGUUUUCUCGAUUUAACCGUUUCGUGGCUUUGUGGUGAUGUUUAUGGAGAGCUGCUCAUGAUGACAGGAACAGCAACGGUCACAUAAAACUCCAGGCUGAGCAAACAAAUUGCUUUUCCUACUGGGUAACAAGAAGCCUGUGGAAAAGUGUGCCGCCUCCUUGAAGUUGGGGGACUGAUUACGGUUUAAAGACCGGUCGGCUAAAGAGAAGAAAAAGAUCAAUCUGUUCUUGACUGUUCUUUUAUUUUGCUGGGGCAGGAAGCUAGAUUUCUGCUUUCUUAUGAGGUUGAAAAGAAGCAGGUACAGUGCAAAGAGAGGCUGUCAGGGGGCUUGAAGAAAUAGAAAAUACUGUUUCUCAAUAUCUGGCUGCAGCAAAUGUCACGCUUUGGGCAAGCAAGAAAAUAAUCAGCAGUCAGUUCCUGCGACACGUCAGCGUGCCCGGUCUCAAACCGCAUCCAUUCAUCACAAAGGGACAAUUAAAAACAAGCUGUCCGGGCCGGUCCUGCAUGAAUCUCCACUGCAUUAAUCCUUCAGCAUUAUGCUCCACAAUAGUUGCUGGGAGCAGUCGUGUCUUUGUGGAUUGGGUGCAGAAAGCAGCAGCAGGAGGUGGGGUGGGAGCUAUUUGUGAUGUAGAUUCCCUACAACACAGGACCACCAGCACUGAAGAGCAAAAAGCAAACUAAAAAAAAAACACACAUACAGACUAUUUGAGUGCGAUGCAGGGGAUGUGGAGCAGGGCUGCCUUCCCUCCAUCCGCAUCAGGAAAAAGGAGGACUGAAAGAGCAAGGCUGCUCAGAAGGCUGAAACUUGGGAGUGCUGAGGUUCGACUGUCCCAAACUCUUCCAGGGUAAUGCUGUUUCAGUUCUCACAAGGGGUUAAAUUAAAAGUCUACUUUUCCCCUUGCUGGGCUGGUGGGUGAACACCUGGAGUUAACAAGCUAAAUACAAACAGCAGGCUGGAGAGUCACUAUAUGGGUGCAUGAAACUUUAAAGAUUUGUUUUCCUUCUGAGACUCAAGGUGGGUUUGGUGAAUAACUUUAAAGUUUCUGCAGCCACAAACUUUCCCUUCCCUGCACAACCAUUCCUC